GAUGAACGCUAGCUACAGGCUUAACACAUGCAAGUCGCGGGGCAGCAUGGGGGUUGCUUGCAAUCCCUGAUGGCGACCGGCGCACGGGUGAGUAACGCGUAUCCAACCUGCCCUUCACCACGGGAUAACCCGGCGAAAGUCGGACUAAUACCGUAUGUUGUCCAUUGACGGCAUCCGAUUUGGACGAAAGGCUUAGCGGUGAGGGAUGGGGAUGCGUCCGAUUAGCUUGACGGCGGGGUAACGGCCCACCGUGGCUACGAUCGGUAGGGGUUCUGAGAGGAGGGGCCCCCCCACUGAAACUGGGAAACGGUCCCAACCCCAACGGGAGGAAGGAGGGAGGAAAUUGGGUAAAGGGGGGUAAGCCUGAACCAGCAAAGGGGGGGGAAGGAGGACGGCCCUGGGGGUUGUAAAUUGUUUUUAGGGGGGGAAAAAGGGCCCCACGGGGGGGUUUUGGCGGGUACCGAAGGAAAAAGGACCGGCAAAUUCCGU
Molecule: ribosomal RNA, 489 nt
Filed under: uncultured bacterium
Lineage: Bacteria
Description: partial 16S ribosomal RNA
Rfam family: Bacterial small subunit ribosomal RNA
Source: RNAcentral